AUGCAUGUUCCUGCCCACUGCUGGACACCCCCCCACCCCCCACCCCAGCAUCAAGGAGGCCGGCAGCUGCUCUCCGAAUAUGGGAAGUGCCUCCUUUCCCUGCCCAGCCUCACAGGGCUGACUCCUGGUGGCAGGGGGUGUGGACGGAGCCCAGCAGGGACCCUCCUGGCAGUGGCACCACUCUGCUUUGCAAAACUGAAGAGUCUCUUGUGGAUCUACCUCUCUCUGGAGGCACAGGUGCUAAACGGGGUAUUAAAGGACCAUGAAGAUUUUCUCCAUCUCUUGUUGAUUAACAGAGCCGUGAUGGUAACAGCUCCCCCCAGUCCCAAGCCCUGGAUUCUACCCUGCAUGGUCCUGACGGCUUGUUCCAUCCACACCAAUAUUUUAAAAGAAAAGGCAGUGGGCUCCCAGACAAAGUUAAAAAGGGCACCACAUUUGACUGCACAUCCCAGAGCAGGUUGGCUUAACCAAGGCCUUCCAACCAGGAGGACUGACAGCAAGCAAAAGCCUCCCCGAGGACACGCACAGAGAUGGUGCAGUGGCUGCUCCGGAAAGAUUUCUGUUGACAUUGUUUUGAUCAUGUUUUCAGAUUCUGAAACACUGGCGGCGUUUGUU
Molecule: long non-coding RNA, 615 nt
Filed under: Oryctolagus cuniculus (rabbit)
Lineage: Eukaryota; Metazoa; Chordata; Mammalia; Lagomorpha; Leporidae
Description: lncRNA (ENSOCUG00000033610.1)
Source: RNAcentral